RNAcentral lists this ribosomal RNA (320 nucleotides) under uncultured eukaryote. RNAcentral describes it as "partial 18S ribosomal RNA". It matches the Rfam family "Eukaryotic small subunit ribosomal RNA", at positions 1470 to 1796 of the family's 1831-position model. The record is from RNAcentral.
CCCUUAGAUGUCCUGGGCUGCACGCGCGCUACACUGACACGUUCAACGAGUCUACCUGUCCUGGUAGGGUUGGGUAAUCUUAUUAAAACGUGUCGUGAUGGGGAUAGAUUAUUGCAAUUAUUAAUCUUCAACGAGGAAUUCCUAGUAAGUGCAAGUCAUCAGCUUGCGCUGAUUAUGUCCCUGCCCUUUGUACACACCGCCCGUCGCUCCUACCGAUUGGGUGAUCCGGUGAAUAAUUCGGAUUGCGGCAACGUGGGCAACCGCGAUGCUGUGAGAAGUUUAGUGAACCUUAUCACUUAGAGGAAGGAGAAGUCGUAACA